AUGACAAAGCCUAAGAGAGUAGGAGGCAUAGGAUUCCGUGAUAUGCACCUCUUCAAUCAAGCCUUACUAGCCAAGAAAGGGUGGAGACUAAUCCAAAACCCAAAUAGCCUUUGUGAGAGGGUCCUCAAAUCAAAAUAUUUUCCUAAUGGGAACAUCCUUGAUACUGUCUUUGCUUCGGAUGUCUCUCCGUCUUGGAGAGGUAUUGAGUUUGGGCUGGAAUUACUUAAGAAGGGUCUUAUUUGGCGAGUUGGAAAUGGUAGGAACAUACAAAUAACAAGGGACCAAUGGAUACUAAGGAAGGAAGGAUCGAAAGCAGCCUCUUUUGUGACAAGAACAAGACUCAGAUGGGUCAACUAG
This 357-nucleotide ribosomal RNA is filed under the name Triticum aestivum (bread wheat). Its description in RNAcentral is "partial small subunit ribosomal RNA". Lineage: Eukaryota; Viridiplantae; Streptophyta; Magnoliopsida; Poales; Poaceae. The record is from RNAcentral.